This 1039-nucleotide long non-coding RNA is filed under the name Amborella trichopoda. RNAcentral describes it as "long non-coding RNA (ATRI_LNC004966)". Lineage: Eukaryota; Viridiplantae; Streptophyta; Magnoliopsida; Amborellales; Amborellaceae. The record is from RNAcentral.
AGAGUUGAUACUCGUGGAUGUAGGCAAGCUCUAUCAAACCAUGUUAAAAUUUGAGUGCCUUCUUUUUCUUCUUUUUUAUCUUCUUACAUUUAUUUUCAUGUUAUCAAAGCGGUAGCGAUCCAUUACUCAUCGUUUUUCUUCAUUGGCCUUCAUCCAAUUGCAAUCUUUUGUCGAAACUUUUGCAAAAGGUCUAGCAAGGUUCUAUGGAAGCACUCUGCUGCGAUCUGUCAUUAUCGUUGCAGUUUCUUUGACCUGGUGAUGCAAGAGCCGAAUAUAUCUUGCUAUAUUUUUUCUAGAAGAUUGAUCGGAAGAAACUAUGUUCUUAACAUCUAAAAAUUUCCUAGAAUUUUUUUUUGGUUGCGGCUUAUUAUAGGUUUGUAGAUUUGCCAUUCUUUUUCUGGCAGCAAUUCGCGUCGUCCUGUUCAUUUUCUUUCUGUGAUCCAGGGAACAGAUAUUGGGCGGAUAUUUUUUUCUUAUUUAUAUAGAUUUAGUGGUGCUACUCGGAGGUUUGUUGUGUUCUAAGCAACGUUCUCCUCUGUGAAUUUAAAGCUAAUAAGGCUCUGCAACUCGUCUCUGCAGUGAAAGUUUUUAGAGCUCUUCCCUCAAGACAAUUUGGUUUCAUCGUGUUGACAACAUCUGCUAUGAAAGAAUGUUAGGGGUAAAGUCAUUGGUUUCUUUUACUAAAUUGACUUAAACUCCCUUUCCAUUUGUUUUUGUUUUGGGUUGCGUUUUCAUUGCAGAACUGGUGGUUGUGUACAUCAGUGUUUGGAUCUGAGAUUUAGUUUUGGUGGAGGUGUUACUCUUUGUUAUUUCUUGGAAUUCCUUUUUUUAUUGUUGCCUUUGUCAUCUUCAAUCAGGUCAUUUUUUUCUUAUGGUUGAUAAGGAUAGUAACUCUAAAUCUUCCAUACAUGAUUUUAAGUCCAAUAGUAGUAUUAAACUAACUACUACCCCGUUCAAUGGACUCAAUUAUAUUGCCUGGUCAAGGGCUGUAUCUUUGACAUUGGGUGGAAAAUCUAAGUUUGGGCAUGUCACUGUAAAG